UACGUAGGGUGCAAGCGUUGUCCGGAAUUAUUGGGCGUAAAGCGUGCGUAGACGGUCAUGUAAGUCGGAUGUGAAAGCCCCGGGCUCAACCUGGGAAUUGCAUUCGAGACUGCAAGGCUUGGGUGCGGAAGAGGGAAGCGGAAUUUCCGGUGUAGCGGUGAAAUGCGUAGAUAUCAGGAGGAAUACCGAUGGCGAAGGCAGGUCUCUGGGCUGACACUGACGCUCAUGCACGAAAGCGUGGGGAGCGAAACAAGG
Molecule: ribosomal RNA, 255 nt
Filed under: uncultured bacterium
Lineage: Bacteria
Description: partial 16S ribosomal RNA
Rfam family: Bacterial small subunit ribosomal RNA
Source: RNAcentral